Molecule: long non-coding RNA, 780 nt
Organism: Colossoma macropomum (tambaqui)
Lineage: Eukaryota; Metazoa; Chordata; Actinopteri; Characiformes; Serrasalmidae
Exons: 2
Source: RefSeq, a predicted model, not a curated record
UUUAAAUCAAAGACGUCAGCAUUUCCUGAGAAGUACUGGAAAGCGCUUGAAUUUCUCACUGAGCCACACUGUUUGAGCGGAGUAACACGAGGCGAAUCUAAGAUGCCACGUACUAAAGCUUCAAGGAGGUCUGAAGCAGCAAAGAGGAGACUAGCCUUGCAGGCUAGUCAGACGGAUAAAGGUGUGCCGCCUUUUAAAAUAAAGGCACUGUCAGAGGACGAUUGUGACUGUCUAACUGCUCAGAAUGACACCCAAAUAAACUCUCCUAACAAACUCUCGCAACCCAUAUUCUCGCAACCCAAAGUCUCGCCAAGCAAAGUCUCACAAACACGGUUCCCAUUGCAGGUUGAAACACGUUCUGAAAAUGUGUCUGUAAACUUGUGUGCAGACUUGCCUCAGAUGUCCAGUAUAAGAGGUUCCUUUCAUCAAGGUGAUGCACGAUUUGAAACUGUUAGUAGAAACAGUAAACAGUGUGACUGCCAUAAUGAUGUGCCAAGUUAAGAAUGUGCUCAGCUGGUCAAAAGAAGAUCUGGAUGCUAUCUUGGUGCAUGGUGAUGCAUUGUACAACUGUUUGAGAGCUCAAGGCAAAGUUCAUGAUCGUUCAGGUUAUUUGUACAUCAGUGAUUUGCCAACAAUGCAUACGCUGUGUGAUUAUGAAUUCAGUAUGAGAUAUGAGGAUAAUUCUUUUGUUGGAGUUUUUGGUGAUGACGGUCAGUUUGGACAUGCUCCAGAUGUUAUCAUGUCAUGUGAUGAAGCAGUAAAGAGAGUAUUUGCAAAUUA